This 505-nucleotide ribosomal RNA is filed under the name uncultured bacterium. RNAcentral describes it as "partial 16S ribosomal RNA". It matches the Rfam family "Bacterial small subunit ribosomal RNA", at positions 28 to 507 of the family's 1533-position model. The record is from RNAcentral.
GACGAACGCUGGCGGCGUGCCUAAUACAUGCAAGUAGAACGCACAGUUUAUACCGUAGCUUGCUACACCAUAGACUGUGAGUUGCGAACGGGUGAGUAACGCGUAGGUAACCUGCCUGGUAGCGGGGGAUAACUAUUGGAAACGAUAGCUAAUACCGCAUAAUAUUGAUUAUUGCAUGAUAAUUGAUUGAAAGAUGCUAUUGCAUCACUACCAGAUGGACCUGCGUUGUAUUAGCUAGUAGGUGAGGUAACGGCUCACCUAGGCGACGAUACAUAGCCGACCUGAGAGGGUGAUCGGCCACACUGGGACUGAGACACGGCCCAGACUCCUACGGGAGGCAGCAGUAGGGAAUCUUCGGCAAUGGACGAAAGUCUGACCGAGCAACGCCGCGUGAGUGCAGAAGGUUUUCGGAUCGUAAAGCUCUGUUGUAAGAGAAGAACGGGUGUGAGAGUGGAAAGUUCACACUGUGACGGUAUCUUACCAGAAAGGGACGGCUAACUACGUG